GUGCCAGCAGCCGCGGUAAUUCCAGCUCCAAUAGCGUAUAUUAAAGUUGUUGCAGUUAAAAAGCUCGUAGUUGGAUCUCAGGUCCCGGCUCGCGGUUCACUUCGCGGUGCUUACUGCCCGUCCGGACCUACCCGCCGGUUUUCCCUUGGUGCUCUUCAUUGAGUGUCUCGGGUGGCCGGAACGUUUACUUUGAAAAAAUUAGAGUGUUCAAAGCAGGCGCUUCGCCUGAAUAAUGGUGCAUGGAAUAAUGGAAUAGGACCUCGGUUCUAUUUUGUUGGUUUUCGGAACUCGAGGUAAUGAUUAAGAGGGACAGACGGGGGCAUUCGUAUUACGGUGUUAGAGGUGAAAUUCUUGGAUCGCCGUAAGACGAACUACUGCGAAAGC
Molecule: ribosomal RNA, 384 nt
Filed under: Phyllodoce maculata
Lineage: Eukaryota; Metazoa; Annelida; Polychaeta; Phyllodocida; Phyllodocidae
Description: SSU rRNA
Rfam family: Eukaryotic small subunit ribosomal RNA
Source: RNAcentral